AACGAACGCUGGCGGCAUGCCUAACACAUGCAAGUCGAACGAAACCUUCGGGUCUAGUGGCGCACGGGGGCGUAACAACUGGUGACCUGCCCUUAAGUUCGGAAUACCUCACCGAAGGGGGUGCUAAUACAGGUGAAGGUAAUACGAGAUAGGAGGUCUCGCUUUGGGGUGGGGCUGCGUUGGUUUCGGCGGUUGGGAGGGGAAAAGCCUGCCAAGGGGACGUUCCAUGGCUGGUGUGUGAGGAUGACCAGCUAGACUGGGACUGAGACACGGACCAGACUCCUACGGGAGGGAGGAGUAGGGAAUAUUGUACGAGGGGCGAAAGCCUGAUACAGCAGCGUCGGGGGAGUGAUGAAGGCGUUAGGGUUGUAAAGCUGUUUUAGCCGAGACGAUAAUGACAGUACCGGGAGAAUAAGCACCGGCUAACUCCGUG
RNAcentral lists this ribosomal RNA (433 nucleotides) under uncultured bacterium. RNAcentral describes it as "partial 16S ribosomal RNA". It matches the Rfam family "Bacterial small subunit ribosomal RNA", at positions 29 to 507 of the family's 1533-position model. The record is from RNAcentral.